UACGGAGGGUGCAAGCGUUAUCCGGAUUCACUGGGCUUAAAGGGCGCGUAGGCGGCGCGUUAAGUCCGUUGUGAAAGCCCUGGGCUCAACCCAGGAACUGCUUCGGAUACUGCCGCGCUUGAGGCUAGUAGGGGACACUGGAACUGCCGGUGGAGCGGUGAAAUGCGUAGAUAUCGUCAGGAACGCCAAUGGUGAAGACAGGUGACUGGGAUAGUUCUGACACUGAGGCACGAAAGCGUGGGGAGCAAACGGG
RNAcentral lists this ribosomal RNA (253 nucleotides) under uncultured bacterium. Its description in RNAcentral is "partial 16S ribosomal RNA". It matches the Rfam family "Bacterial small subunit ribosomal RNA", at positions 524 to 776 of the family's 1533-position model. The record is from RNAcentral.